CCUACGGGAGGCAGCAGUGAGGAAUAUUGGUCAAUGGUCGGGAGACUGAACCAGCCAAGCCGCGUGAGGGAUGAAGGUACAGAGUAUCGUAAACCUCUUUUGUCAGGGAACAAAGGCGGGGACGUGUCCCCGGAUGAGUGUACCUGAAGAAAAAGCAUCGGCUAACUCCGGGCCAGCAGCCGCGGUAAUACGGAGGAUGCGAGCGUUAUCCGGAUUUAUUGGGUUAAAGGGGUGCGCAGGCGGUUUGUUAAGUAGGCGGGAAAAGCCCGGGGCUCAACCCCGGCCCGCCGUUGAAACGGGCAGUCUCGAGUUGGAGAGAAGUAUGCGGAAUGCGCGGUGUAGCGGUGAAAUGCAUAGAUAUCGCGCAGAACUCCGAUUGCGAAGGCAGCAUGCCGGCUCCACACUGACGCUGAGGCACGAAAGCGUGGGUAUCGAACAGGAUUAGAUACCCCUGUAGUC
This 459-nucleotide ribosomal RNA is filed under the name uncultured bacterium. Its description in RNAcentral is "partial 16S ribosomal RNA". It matches the Rfam family "Bacterial small subunit ribosomal RNA", at positions 338 to 795 of the family's 1533-position model. The record is from RNAcentral.